This 730-nucleotide ribosomal RNA is filed under the name Kluyveromyces marxianus. RNAcentral's name for it is "eukaryotic LSU rRNA". The stretch from base 265 to 418 matches the Rfam family "5.8S ribosomal RNA". The record is from RNAcentral. Lineage: Eukaryota; Fungi; Ascomycota; Saccharomycetes; Saccharomycetales; Saccharomycetaceae.
CCCUCCGUAAAAGGGGCCUGCGGGAGGGUCAUUAAAGAUUAUGAAUGAAUAGAUUACUGGGGGGAUCGUCUGAACAAGGCCUGCGCUUAAUUGCGCGGCCAGUUCUUGAUUCUCUGCUAUCAGUUUUCUAUUUCUCAUCCUAAACACAAUGGGGUUUUUUCUCUAUGAACUACUUCCCUGGGGAGCUCGUCUCUCCAGUGGGCAUAAACACAAACAAUAUUUUGUAUUAUGAAAAACUAUUAUACUAUAAAAUUUAAUAUUCAAAACUUUCAACAACGGGUCUCUUGGUUCUCGCAUCGAUGAAGAACGCAGCGAAUUGCGAUAUGUAUUGUGAAUUGCAGAUUUUCGUGAAUCAUCAAAUCUUUGAACGCACAUUGCGCCCUCUGGUAUUCCAGGGGGCAUGCCUGUUUGAGCGUCAUUUCUCUCUCAAACCUUUGGGUUUGGUAGUGAGUGAUACUCGUCUCGGGUUAACUUGAAAGUGGCUAGCCGUUGCCAUCUGCGUGAGCAGGGCUGCGUGUCAAGUCUAUGGGCUCGACUCUUGCACAUCUACGUCUUAGGUUUGCGCCAAUUCGUGGUAAGCUUGGGUCAUAGAGACUCAUAGGUGUUAUAAAGACUCGCUGGUGUUUGUCUCCUUGAGGCAUACGGCUUUAACCAAAACUCUCAAAGUUUGACCUCAAAUCAGGUAGGGGUACCCGCUGAACUUAAGCAUAUCAAUAGCCGGGGGGGGAGA